UAAGGAAUAUUGGUCAAUGGACGGAAGUCUGAACCAGCCAUGCCGCGUGCAGGAAGACGGCCCUACGGGUUGUAAACUGCUUUUGCAGGGGAAUAAACCCCGAUACGUGUAUCGGGCUGAAUGUACUCUGAGAAUAAGGAUCGGCUAACUCCGUGCCAGCAGCCGCGGUAAUACGGAGGAUCCAAGCGUUAUCCGGAUUUAUUGGGUUUAAAGGGUGCGUAGGUGGCCUGUUAAGUCAGGGGUGAAAGACGGUAGCUUAACUAUCGCAGUGCCCUUGAUACUGAUGGGCUUGAAUGAACUAGAGGUAGGCGGAAUGUGACAAGUAGCGGUGAAAUGCAUAGAUAUGUCACAGAACACCAAUUGCGAAGGCAGCUUACUAUGGUUUUAUUGACACUGAGGCACGAAAGCGUGGGGAUCAAACA
RNAcentral lists this ribosomal RNA (422 nucleotides) under uncultured Mucilaginibacter sp. RNAcentral describes it as "bacterial SSU rRNA". It matches the Rfam family "Bacterial small subunit ribosomal RNA", at positions 355 to 774 of the family's 1533-position model. Lineage: Bacteria; Pseudomonadati; Bacteroidota; Sphingobacteriia; Sphingobacteriales; Sphingobacteriaceae. The record is from RNAcentral.